RNAcentral lists this long non-coding RNA (1303 nucleotides) under Ictidomys tridecemlineatus (thirteen-lined ground squirrel). RNAcentral's name for it is "lncRNA (ENSSTOG00000034878.1)". The record is from RNAcentral. Lineage: Eukaryota; Metazoa; Chordata; Mammalia; Rodentia; Sciuridae.
UUUCUAUGAAAAAAAAGAUAUUUUUUUUCUAAAUUACAUAGUUGAAUCAGCACAUACUCCUCAGAAAAUAUACCCUCCAUUAGUAAGAAUAAAUAUAGUCCAAGAGCAAAUCUAAAUGCCUCACGAAAAAUAUUUAUAAGAGCCAUCCUUCUAAAGAUGUCCUAGGCACCAGAAGAUCAUUCUCGAUGGAACAAAAAGGCUCUAUGAAAAUGUAGCACCCACCUGGGCCGUAGAUAAUGGCAGAAUAAGGGCAAAAAGGCAGCAUCCCGUGCAGCAUGGUAUAAAAAGGUACAUGGAGGCCUAUUUAUUAAAAGUAGGGAUUUUAGGCAACAGUAGGCUCUGCCACUUGGCUGGAGAUUAGCUCCAUUUUAGGAUCAUAGUGAGGCCUAUGACUGCAAAGAUAGCUUGGAAGAGUAUUAACUGUGAUGUGAAGUGCUCACUAGGUUUUUCCUGGAAGAACACACCCAUUUCAAGCAGAGAAAGAGUAGAGUCAAUCAGGUGCUUUAGAAAGGCUAUUGGCAGUGCCUUGGUGAGCAUGGUGCAAGAGGUGAAGACAGACACCUGUCGGGAUUCAGAGGGAGCAGACUCCACUUCCCCUUCUACAGGCGUGCACGUCCGGUCUCUGCAUCAUGAUUGUCAGUCUUUUGCGAAGAAAUGGAAAUAAGAGGCUCUCCAGAGAAAAAUCCUGUGCAAGCAAAAUGUGUUCCAGCAAGACUCAUGAAAGCACUUGAUACUGUUAUCUACUAGGAGAGCGAAUGAAAUUAUCACUUGAUAAAGCCCAAAGAAAACUUGAUGGUUUCAGAUAAAACGAGUGAUCUUCGCAAAGGAAAAGUACUUCACAGAAGCCGGAAAUUGGGACACCAAAGGGAGGAAGCUGGUACUAGAAUAUUUCACUUAAUGACUGCAUGACAAGUCCAUCAGAGGUCAUUAUUUAUAGGUCAUUUUCCUGUCAAUUGUAGGAAUCCUGGCCUUAAUCAUUUGUGUCAACACACACUUCCGUAUAAAAACUUCCAACAUGAUACAGAUAAUUCUGAGAAACACGAUAUGUGUUCUGACAAUUCUGUUCUUUCCUUUUGACUCUGAAUUUGCCAAGAUAUUUCCUGUUAACUCCUUGGCAUAAGUGUUUUUAAGUGUCUGUUCCUGAUGCCAGCACAGGGUGUCAUGCUGGGAAAAUCCACUUUUUGGAAGGAAAAUUACAAAGUAUUGUGGUCAGCAUUAAAUUUAAAGGGACAUUCCUACUAUUGAAUACGUUUCCACAUUUUUAUUAUUUUAGAUGGUCUUUUUCCUUUUAUUUUUUUUUUCU